GUAGGGAAUCUUCCACAAUGGACGAAAGUCUGACGGAGCAACGCCGCGUGAGUGAAGAAGGUUUUCGGAUCGUAAAGCUCUUUCGUUAGGGACGAACGUGCUCUUUGUGAAUAAUGAGGAGUAAUGACGGUACCUAAAUAAGAAGCCACGGCUAACUACGUGCCAGCAGCCGCGGUAAUACGUAGGUGGCAAGCGUUGUCCGGAAUUAUUGGGCGUAAAGCGCGCGCAGGCGGGAUAUCAAGUCUGUCUUAAAAGUGCGAGGCUCAACCUCGUGAGGGGACAGAAACUGGUAUUCUUGAGUGUCGGAGAGGAAAGUGGAAUUCCAAGUGUAGCGGUGAAAUGCGUAGAGAUUUGGAAGAACACCAGUGGCGAAGGCGACUUUCUGGACGAUGUCUGACGCUGAGGCGCGAAAGCUAGGGGAGCGAACGGGAUUAGAAACCCGUGUAGUCC
Molecule: ribosomal RNA, 450 nt
Filed under: uncultured bacterium
Lineage: Bacteria
Description: partial 16S ribosomal RNA
Rfam family: Bacterial small subunit ribosomal RNA
Source: RNAcentral